Molecule: long non-coding RNA, 660 nt
Filed under: Numida meleagris (helmeted guineafowl)
Lineage: Eukaryota; Metazoa; Chordata; Aves; Galliformes; Numididae
Description: lncRNA (ENSNMEG00000001124.1)
Source: RNAcentral
UGAGUGAGGAAGGGUAGACAACCACCUGCUUUACAAGAAAACAGAGACUGUAGCCACGUUUUGUGUGAAACUCCAUCUUCUAUGGAUCAUUGCUGCCAAUAUGCUCCACAAUCAGAGGAGGAGAAAGGAACAGCUGCAAGGUGGAAUGGGCCCCUCAACGGAAUGAUGCACUAAAGAGGUCCCAUGGAUACAAAAUCAGGGUUUUUGCAACAUAGAGUGAAGGCCACACUGAUCUGAAAACACCAAAGACUGUUAUUAAAACGCACGUGCACAUACGGAUAUGUACACUGAUACUAAUCAGCUUCCAAAGAUGGCAGUAAAAGAUCAGCUCCAACAGUGGACAGAUGUUUCCUGCUUCAGUGCUACACAUAUUGCAGCAUAUGUACCAGAAUAUGCAGGAACAAGUGAUACAAGACUCCCCACCUUUUACCAAUCACUGUCUGCAAACAUUAUGAUGAAAAUUUGUAGCCAUUUUCCCAUCUUAGAGUGUUCUUCAUGAUAGUUAGCAUAGCAGAGAUAUUAUGGAGGCACUGGAUGCAUCGGUCUAAUACUUUUAAGAAACAAACUUUGCAGAAUGUUAUUGAUUAAAAUGCUCUUGAUGAAAUGAUGACAAUACCACCUCUUUUUUUUUUUUUUUAUCUUAAGGACAAAAAAAAAAAA